CCUACGGGAGGCAGCAGUGAGGAAUAUUGGUCAAUGGGCGCUAGCCUGAACCAGCCAAGUAGCGUGAAGGAUGACUGCCCUAUGGGUUGUAAACUUCUUUUAUAUGGGACUAAAAUGCAGUAUGUAUACUGCUUUGCAUGUACCUUAUGCAUAAGGAUCGGCUAACUCCGUGCCAGCAGCCGCGGUAAUACGGAGGAUCCGAGCGUUAUCCGGAUUUAUUGGGUGUAACGGGAGCGUAGGCGGGUUGUUAAGUCAGUUGUGAAAGUUUGCGGCUCAACCGUAAAAUUGCAGUUGAUACUGGCAGCCUUGAGUGCAGUAGAGGUAGGCGGAAUUCGUGGUGUAGCGGUGAAAUGCUUAGAUAUCACGAAGAACUCCGAUUGCGAAGGCAGCCUGCUGGACUGUAACUGACGCUGAUGCUCGAAAGUGUGGGUAUCAAACAGGAUUAGAUACCCUGGUAGUC
Molecule: ribosomal RNA, 460 nt
Filed under: uncultured bacterium
Lineage: Bacteria
Description: partial 16S ribosomal RNA
Rfam family: Bacterial small subunit ribosomal RNA
Source: RNAcentral